RNAcentral lists this ribosomal RNA (480 nucleotides) under uncultured Glomeromycotina. RNAcentral describes it as "SSU rRNA". It matches the Rfam family "Eukaryotic small subunit ribosomal RNA", at positions 596 to 1077 of the family's 1831-position model. The record is from RNAcentral. Lineage: Eukaryota; Fungi; Glomeromycota.
AGCGUAUAUUAAAGUUGUUGCAGUUAAAGAGCUCGUAGUUGAAUUUCGGGGUCAGUAGGUUGGUCAUGCCACUGGUAUGUACUGGUCUCACUGAUUCCUCCUUCCUGAUGAACUGUAAUGCCAUUAAUUUGGUGUUGCAGGGAAUCUGGACUGUUACUUUGAAAAAAUUAGAGUGUUUAAAGCAGGCUAACGCCUGAAUACAUUAGCAUGGAAUAAUGAAAUAGGACGUUCGAUCCUAUUUUGUUGGUUUCUAGGAUUGACGUAAUGAUUAAUAGGGAUAGUUGGGGGCAUUAGUAUUCAAUUGUCAGAGGUGAAAUUCUUGGAUUUAUUGAAGACUAACUACUGCGAAAGCAUUUGCCAAGGAUGUUUUCAUUAAUCAAGAACGAAAGUUAGGGGAUCGAAGACGAUCAGAUACCGUCGUAGUCUUAACCAUAAACUAUGCCGACUAGGGAUCGGAUGAUGUUAAUUUUUUAAUGACUC